UGGAUGCCUUGGCAUCAAGAGGCGAUGAAGGACGUGAAAGACUGCGAUAAGUUAUAGGGAGGUGUCAAUAACCUUUGAUCUAUAAAUUUCCGAAUGGGGAAACCCAUCGCUAUACGCGAUAUCUGCAAUAGCAGAGGCGAACCUUGUGAACUGAAACAUCUAAGUAACAAGAGGAAAAGAAAUCAAUAGAUAUUCCGUUAGUAGUGGCGAGCGAAAGCGGGUUUGGCGAAUUUUCUAGAAGAAAUUAGAAUUGUCUGGAAAGGCAAACUGAAAAGGGUGAUAGUCCCGUAAAAGAUUUUCUAGUUAAUCAUAUUAAGUAGGGCGAGACACGUGAAAUCUUGUUCGAAUAUGGGGGGGCCAUCCUCCAAGCCUAAGUACUCCUUGAUGACCGAUAGUGAACUAGUACCGUGAGGGAAAGGUGAAAAGUACCCCGAACAGGGGAGUUAAAAGAACCUGAAACCGAAUGCUUACAAACAGUCGAAGCUAGCUUGACUAGUGACGGCGUACCUUUUGCAUAAUGAGUCAGCGAGUUUAUCUAUGAAGCGAGCUUAAGCUGUUAAGCGUAGGCGUAGCGAAAGCAAGUCUUAAUAGGGCGUGAGUUUUAUGGAUAAGACCCGAAACCGAGUGAUCUAGCUAUGAACAGGUUGAAGAGCCGUGAAAACGUCUUGGAGGACCGAACCAGUGAAUGUUGCAAUAUUCUUGGAUGAUUUGUGGCUAGGGGUGAAAGGCUAAUCAAACUCGGAAAUAGCUGGUUCUCCGCGAAAUCUAUUUAGGUAGAGCGUUGCAUGUUGCCCUUUGGGGGUAGAGCUCUGAAUAACCUAGGGGGGAGAGAUCCUUACCAAAGUUAAUCAAACUACGAAUACCAAAGCGUAUAAGUGCAGCUAGACAGACUAUUGGCGCUAAGGUCUAUAGUCGAGAGGGAAAGAGCCCAGACCACCAUCUAAGGUCCCAAAGUUAUUGCUAAGUGGAAAAGGAGGUGAGUAAACCAAGACAGUCAGGAGGUUGGCUUAGAAGCAGCCAUCCUUUAAAGAAAGCGUAAUAGCUCACUGAUCUAAUUUAAGUUUACUUGCGCCUAAAAUUUAACGGGGCUAAAGUAAUACACCGAAGAUGUGGGUAUUUCGUAAGAAAUACGGUAGCGGAGCGUUCUGUAAGUCGUUGAAGAAAAGUUGUGAGGCUUUUUGGAGAUAUCAGAAGUGAGAAAGCUGACAUGAGUAGCACUGAAGGCAAGUGAGAAACUUGCCCGCCGAAAAUUCAAGGGUUCCUGUUUCAAGGAUUGUCCGAACAGGGUAAGCCGGUCCCUAAGGCGAGGGCGAAAGCCGUAGUCGAUGGAAAUUAGGUUAAAAUUCCUAAGCCGUGUUGAAAUAAAAGUGACAGAUUAAAUGUAUUAUUACUUCUUAUUGGAUUGAAGUAAUGGUGUCUUUAAUUUCAGGAAAUAGCGAUCAACAAUGACCGUACCCUAAACCGACACAGGUGAAUUGGUAGAGUAUACCGAGGCGAAUGAGAGAAUGAUGUUGAAGGAACUCGGCAAAUUAACCCCGUAACUUAGGGAGAAGGGGUACUGCAGGAAUGCAGUGGCACAGAAAUGGGAGUAGCGACUGUUUAUCAAAAACACAGGACUCUGCAAAGAUGAAAGUUGAAGUAUAGAGUCUGACGCCUGCCCGGUGCUUGAAGGUUAAGAGGAGAGGUGAGAGCUUUGAAUUGAAGCCCAAGUAAACGGCGGCCGUAACUAUAACGGUCCUAAGGUAGCGAAAUUCCUUGUCGGGUAAGUUCCGACGCGCACGAAUGGCGUAACGACUGCUCCGCUGUCUCCAACAUCAACUCAGCGAAAUUGAAUUCCCCGUGAAAAUGCGGGGUACCCAUGGUUAGACGAAUAGACCCCAUGCACCUUAACUACAACUUUGCAGUGGUGUUUGGUAUAUUAUGUGUAGGAUAGGUGGGAGCAUUGGAAGUUUUGACGUUAGUUGG
Molecule: ribosomal RNA, 1965 nt
Filed under: Hebecnema umbratica
Lineage: Eukaryota; Metazoa; Arthropoda; Insecta; Diptera; Muscidae
Description: bacterial LSU rRNA
Rfam family: Bacterial large subunit ribosomal RNA
Source: RNAcentral